RNAcentral lists this ribosomal RNA (229 nucleotides) under uncultured bacterium. RNAcentral describes it as "partial 16S ribosomal RNA". It matches the Rfam family "Bacterial small subunit ribosomal RNA", at positions 568 to 796 of the family's 1533-position model. The record is from RNAcentral.
UCCGUAGGUGGAUUAAUAAGUCAGAGGUGAAAUCCUGCAGCUCAACUGUAGAACUACCUUUGAUACUGUUAAUCUUGAGUCAUUAUGAAGUGGUUAGAAUGUGUAGUGUAGCGGUGAAAUGCAUAGAUAUUACACAGAAUACCGAUUGCGAAGGCAGAUCACUAAUAAUGUACUGACACUGAGGGACGAAAGCGUGGGGAGCGAACAGGAUUAGAUACCCUGGUAGUCC